This 338-nucleotide ribosomal RNA is filed under the name uncultured archaeon. Its description in RNAcentral is "bacterial SSU rRNA". It matches the Rfam family "Archaeal small subunit ribosomal RNA", at positions 595 to 932 of the family's 1478-position model. The record is from RNAcentral.
GGGGGCGGGAGAGGUUGAGGGUACUUCGCGGGUAGGGGCGAAAUCCUAUAAUCCGCGAAGGACCACCAGUGGCGAAGGCGCUCAACUGGAACGCGCCCGACGGUGAGGGACGAAAGCCAGGGGAGCAAAGGGGAUUAGAUACCCCCGUAGUCCUGGCUGUAAACGAUGCGGGCUAGGUGUUGGGUUGGCUUCGUGCCAACCCGGUGCCGCAGUGAAGACGAUAAGCCCGCCGCCUGGGAAGUACGGCUGCAAGGCUGAAACUUAAAGGAAUUGGCGGGGGAGCACCACAAGGGGUGAAGCCUGCGGUUUAAUUGGAGUCAACGCCGGGAAUCUUACCG